RNAcentral lists this long non-coding RNA (1251 nucleotides) under Heterocephalus glaber (naked mole-rat). Its description in RNAcentral is "lncRNA (ENSHGLG00100033610.1)". Lineage: Eukaryota; Metazoa; Chordata; Mammalia; Rodentia; Bathyergidae. The record is from RNAcentral.
CUCUCUUGACUCUCAAAGGCAGCACCUGUGGGUGUCCGUGUCACUGUGUCAGCAAAUCCAGAAAGGAGGCAGGGCUCAAAGACAGUGUGAAGAGAAUGGCAAAAUCUGAUUUUUGGAGAACAAAGCUGAAGCUGAGGUUGGGACACAGUUGGACAGCAAAAUAGUAAUAAGAGGUGCAAAUUUGGACAGGAAUGAGACCGCUCAAAUUACCCGCUCAAACCAGAUGUCAAAGCUCCAGGGCCUGAUCUAACAGACAUCACAAGACAGGUGCAGUGCCACUGAGCUAUACUCCGGCUCCUAUUGACUGUAUUUUUCCCUGUGUGUGUAGACUGUACUACUAAGUUUCCUGUAACUUUUCUUAAAAGCUUCCCUGAAGUCAGCAUCUUUCCUCUGCCAUGCCCUUCCCUCAUGAUGUUUCUGCCUUGGAGCCAGCCAGUCAUGGAAUAAAUUCCCAUAAACUCUGAGCCAAAUGAAAUUCAUCCUUGAAGUGAUGGGUGUCUGGUAUUGUGUCACAGAGAUGAGAAAGCUGAUUAAUGCAGUCACUGUAAAAACGAAAUUUAAAAGCACAAUUAGAGAACAGAAACACCAGAACUAGCAUUGAAGGACGAGGAGCUCCACGGAUAUUCAGUGCAGCUGGGAAAGGAUUUUGGGGAAAGCAUAAGUAGAAGAAAAAGUUACUAAAAAACAAAAGCAUUUCAAGUCUCUGGAAAUUUUCUUAAGGGCAGAGCUCAAAUAAGGGCAUUGGAGAAAUAUUUAGGUUGGAAAAUCUACAAAAUCUCUAGAGAAACUCUGUAGAUCCCUGGGAUUUAAACCGCAAACUGCUCCCUCUACUUGCAGCUAAGCACUAUAAAAGCUGAACUUCAUGCAGGUUUGGCCAAGAAGCCAGAGCUUGCUCUUUCCCCAGCUUCCAGUCAAGGGCCACAAUGUCUCAAUAAGAGGGAUGGGUCACCAGAAUCUCUCAUCUUGGCUAGUCCUGCAUUUAAGGGAAUAAAUUAUAUAUGAAAACAAUUUAGAAGGCAGUCAGGGGCACCCCUCCACAUGGUGCCUAUUCAUAAGGCAGAGAUUCUAAUCCAGGCAUGUGAGAUAAAGAAUAUUGAGAAUCCCAAAAACUUUAGCUCAGCCUUAUUUCUAAAAUUCAGGUUUCACAAAAUAGAGAUAAACCAAGAAGAGGAUAUAACUAUCUUAUAGUACUCUGUUCAUAAAAUCAAACAGUUACCUGAGGAGGAGCCAAUAUUCUUGCCCCAGUUCUGU